CAGCAGCCGCGGUAAUACGAAGGGUGCAAGCGUUACUCGGAAUUACUGGGCGUAAAGCGUGCGUAGGUGGUGGUUUAAGUCCGUUGUGAAAGCCCUGGGCUCAACCUGGGAAUUGCAGUGGAUACUGGAUCACUAGAGUGUGGUAGAGGAUAGUGGAAUUUCCGGUGUAGCAGUGAAAUGCGUAGAGAUCGGAAGGAACAUCUGUGGCGAAGGCGACUAUCUGGGCCAACACUGACACUGAGGCACGAAAGCGUGGGGAGCAAACAGGAUUAGAUACCCGCGUAGUCCCUGUCUCUUAUAC
This 301-nucleotide ribosomal RNA is filed under the name uncultured bacterium. Its description in RNAcentral is "partial 16S ribosomal RNA". It matches the Rfam family "Bacterial small subunit ribosomal RNA", at positions 509 to 807 of the family's 1533-position model. The record is from RNAcentral.